AGCAGCCGCGGUAAUUCCAGCUCCAAUAGCGUAUAUUAAAGUUGUUGCAGUUAAAAAGCUCGUAGUUGAAUUUCGGGAUUGACACAUCGGUCGUGCCUUAAGGGGUAUGAACUGGUGUAGUCAAUUUCUCACCUUCUGGAGAACCGUCGAUGCCCUUAAUUGGGUGUCGCGGGGAACCAGGACCUUUACUUUGAAAAAAUUGAGUGUUUAAAGCAGGCAUUUUACUUGAAUACAUUAGCAUGGAAUAAUAAAAUAGGACGGCAUGAUUCUAUUUUGUUGGUUUCUAGGAUCACCGUAAUGAUUAAUAGGGAUAGUUGGGGGCAUUAGUAUUCAAUUGUCAGAGGUGAAAUUCUUGGAUUUAUUGAAGACUAACUACUGCGAAAGCAUUUGCCAAGGAUGUUUUCAUUAAUCAAGAACGAAAGUUAGGGGAUCGAAGACGAUCAGAUACCGUCGUAGUCUUAACCAUAAACUAUGCCGACUAGGA
Molecule: ribosomal RNA, 484 nt
Filed under: uncultured Entrophospora
Lineage: Eukaryota; Fungi; Glomeromycota; Glomeromycetes; Entrophosporales; Entrophosporaceae
Description: SSU rRNA
Rfam family: Eukaryotic small subunit ribosomal RNA
Source: RNAcentral